AGCUGCUAAAUAGCAGGCUAGCACCGCAAACCAUCGGUUGCAUCCCACUCGCAAGUCACACAGCAGGACGUAACGGAUGACCUCGACAACAUGGACAGACCCCAGUUACACCUCCAACAUUGGCAAACACUAAAGAGAAUUGACGGUUUUGGAGCAAACCACAGAGGAAAGCUAACGUUCUAAUGUAUAUGACUGUCAAGCUACUCUAGCUAGUACAGGAUACAGUUAUUUAAAAUGUAUGCAGUAGCUAUCAGUAUCAACAUGUUUUAAGCAUACGUACUCUUUGAACUUGAGUAACAUCAAUGAAAAAUAUCAAUGACCUUACAUCACCCCCUGAAAAAAAUAUAAUGGUAUAGUCUCGCUUCCUGAUAGUUGUGCUGGGCACUUUCACAGAAAUCCAUGGUCAGAAGUUUGUGAUUUAGGCUGUUAUCAUUAUUAUGUUAACCUAAACACGCCGCUAAUUGCAUCGCUAUUAUACUGUAAUUUAUAGUCUGAAUAAACGAACUUGAGUAGA
This is a long non-coding RNA of Anguilla anguilla (European eel), 514 nucleotides long. RefSeq lists it as uncharacterized. Lineage: Eukaryota; Metazoa; Chordata; Actinopteri; Anguilliformes; Anguillidae. The record is from RefSeq and is a predicted model, not a curated record. The transcript is spliced from 2 exons.